RNAcentral lists this ribosomal RNA (253 nucleotides) under uncultured bacterium. RNAcentral describes it as "partial 16S ribosomal RNA". It matches the Rfam family "Bacterial small subunit ribosomal RNA", at positions 524 to 776 of the family's 1533-position model. The record is from RNAcentral.
GACGAAGGUGGCGAGCGUUGUUCGGAAUCACUGGGCAUAAAGCGCACGUAGGCGGUGCCGUAAGUCGGAUGUGAAAUCCCUCGGCCUAACCGAGGAACUGCGUCCGAUACUGCGGUGCUUGAGGAUCAGAGGGGUGCAUGGAAUUUCCGGUGGAGCGGUGAAAUGCGUUGAUAUCGGAAGGAACUCCGGCGGCGAAAGCGAUGCACUGGCUGAUUUCUGACGCUGAGGUGCAAAAGCCAGGGGAGCAAACGGG